GGUACGUGAUUUAGAAGAUGAGAAAGAUGAAAAAGCUCACAAAAAUGUCAACCCAGCUGUUGAACAAGAUCCUAUGAACCAAAGAGAAUUGCUAACCUUAGGGGGAACUACUCAUAUAGAAGACUCUUCUUAUCACCUUAAUGUACCAUGUACUUUUAAACUUCUUGUUGGAAGGAAUUGGAAACACCAUAGCUCACAUCUAAUUGUGCUAACUCAGCAUACUUUUCACUGAUAGAUUUUAAAAAAAUCAAGGAAUCCUUAUUGGAUUCAGACUAAAUUUUCUCAGUGCAAUAAAAAUUGAACCAAUUUAAAAGAUGCGAGGUGUAAAACUUGAUCCCAAAUGCUGUAGAAAGAACCAUUAUUGGGGUAGAUGGAUGCUCAGAAAUAAGCAAGAAGAUUAAGAAAUGGAGACUAGAAAUAAAGCCAGACUUGUGGUGCAAAGGUAUAACCAAGAAAAAGAAGAAACUGACUUUGAUAAAACUUUUGGCCAAUAGCAAGAUGGCAGCAGUAAGAAUGAUGAUUGAAUUUUCCUCUCAAAUAUAUUUUGUGAAAAUUUUGGCUUUUUUAGAGACACCACUUAAUUUUGAAAAGGAAUUAAGAAACCUUUAUAAGAUACUUUAAACGAUCCAAAGCAGAAAAAUCGUUUAAGUUUUAAAGAUUCUGAGUAAGUGGUUCUUAUUAACAUUUUAGGAAGGUUUUAGGCAUCCAAAACGUCCACUAAAUUGCGGUUAUCCGAGCUGUUUGAAAACAUCUUUUGACUAACUUUUUAAGAUUGAUUUAUUGAAAAAUGAUUUGACUUUUUUUAAAAAAAAAAAACCUUGUGUAAAAUAGAUUCAGGCAACUUAGUAGGGAUUUUAACUAAGUCUAAACAAAUUAAUAAGCAAAUAAACACAUAAAAGGGGAAAGGGGGAAGAAAGUAAAAGACAGACCAUUGGGCCAAAAUGAACAAAAUCUGUCACAAUCUAAUUGGACUUUCGACUCAUUUUUCACCUAUCCUAAUCUAUGUUUUUGAGCCUUUUUGGCCCAAAACUUGCUUCACCUAUAUUAAAUUUACAACUUUGGCGUCGAGGUCCAAAUGAAUGAAUAAUGAAAUAAAGAAAUAAGUAAAGACUAAAUAAAUAAACAAAUAAGUUAAAAAACGAGACUUUCAAGUCUCUUAGCCGCUUCAAAGAUGGGAUUUAGCCCAUUUUUCUUCUUCCAAUUGUUCGUAUCCACACGCCAUGAGAUCAUGUCUUUCAAAAGUCUUCUAAAAAGUGGGCCUCAUUGGCCCAUUAUAGAAUGCAAAGGGAAAGAAUUUGUUUGGACUCCAACAGAUUUCCAUGCAAAAUACGAAGGGAAAUAGAUAUAAAAAUAACACAUAGCCAACCAAGGAAAAGAAAAUUAAAUUAGUUAACACAUGAUCCAUCAAAGAGAAGAAAAACUAGAUGAAAACUAUUGAGGACUUAACUAAACAUAGUAUGAGUCUUAAAUAAUCAUAAGCCGAUGUAGAAAAAGUAAGACGUAUUCUCAUCGAUUCAGUUUACAAAUUCAAUCAAGACAGAAAAAUUUAAAAGUACAUGAUCAACCCAAGAAAGAAAGGAAAUAUAAAAGAGAAUCAAUACAUGUCAACUAUAUAAACGAGGUAACUAGAAUCCUAUCGAACAGUCAAAAAUCAAAAUCAGCGUAUCCCUCCUUAGUAUUUGGAAUCAUCUCAAAAUGAGGUUUGUACUACAGUAACACUAAUUCAUUUUUUUAACAAAUACACCAGAAUGAAAUACACAACAUCAAAUUCGUAAACAAUAAAAGGAACAAUAAAUUGACUUUAUAGGACAGGGUUCAAUGUAAAGCAAAUCCGGCUCAAUUCCAAGGAAAACAUAUCAAACCCACCAAUAUUUCAUUGAAAGGUAUACAAUUCAAAUCAACAAAUUUUACAAAGGUAUUUGCUGAAGUUAGAGCAAAAUUUGAAACCACAAUAAGACCAACUCAAAGAGCAAUUUGGGGAAGGGGUUUGAUCCAUAGAAAACAAACCAAUAAGACAAGGAGGGACUCCCACAAAUUUACCAACUAUGAAACUACAACUACGAUGAUCUAAAAAUAGAAGGAGCAAAGGAAGAAGGUGAAAAUACUAGGAAAAUACCAUGCCAAUUCGAACAAACACCAUCUAAACGAGCAACGGUUAAAUUAAUACGAACAAAUACUAAGCAGAAAGCCUAAAAAAGAAAAACAAAUUCUCAAAGCUCCCAUCUUAAACCGAAGAAACCCCAAAUGACUGAAAGUCGCGACGAUGAUAAGACAACCCUAAAAGAUCUACCAUUCGAAACAACAAACUUAACUAACAUGAAUCAUCAUGAUACAUCAAGUCUGGCCCCUCGGCCUAUAACAAUUUUCGGGAAAUGAAAACGAACGCAGCUAUUAUCCAAAACACGGUCUUGAAAAACUUCAAGAGUUUUAGACCCUAAAAUCACUGUCUAAAUGGAAGAAAAAUGACACAAACCAGGUUCGAGAGAGAAUCAGCAAGCUACAUCGAUUUUUCAACAUCUAAGAUAAUAAACGAGACCAAAUUCAAUUAUACUAAAAAUUUUAUAAUUUUGACACCAACAGCACUCAGCAAUGGGGACCCCUUCAUUUUUAUUUAAGCAAAAUACACACACUAUCACUGCAUAUUACGCACUCAACUUUACCUCACCAUAUACAGCCAUACGAUUGACCCACACACUCAACACGGCCGACUCACGUAUAUGUUCUCCUCUAUUUGUUUCCCCGAAUACCCAUGGACAAAUAGAACAGUAUACAUAACACUAAUCAGGAGCUGGGCAGAAUGCUCAUACAUACAUCAUCUCACCACAUACACAAAGCAACAUAUACAGACGCAGAAAAGAGAAAGAAAAAUGGGUAGCAGCCAGAUCAACACCAUAAUCAAACGCCGAAUUCUAUAACUAAACUACAAACUACUAACUAUGAUUACGAAACUACGAAGAUAGAAAGAAAGGGAUGAAGAAGAAUAACAAAACUAGAAAGACGACGUGUGUUUACCUUUUACGGGCAGCAAAACAACUAGUUUCGAUCCCCAUCGGAAAGACUUCUCCGCUACUCCGAUGAUUUCGAUAACUUUUUGAGAAUAUUUUUUACUAAAAAGGGGUUUGCUUGAUAGCUUGAUUUUUUAGCCUUCAAGACUUGUUAUUUUUGGCUCAUGGAUGAGCUAUUUAUAGCAAAACAAAAAUGGGGAUAGAUUUCACGUUCCAUCGAUAUGGGACAAAGAGUUUUAGGGGAAUUUUGAAAAAUACCAUUGAAAAAUAUGAGGACCAGCCCCCAGCUAGAAAGAAAGAUACCCUCUUUGUAUGAAUUAUUCCCAAUUCAAAUUUUUGAACCAACGGAUAAAACCUAAAAGAUGAGUACGGAGACACGUCAUGGGUUCUAGAACCUUCGAAAUACAACCCCAGUUUUGCCACUUUAGAGGCUGAGGUGGAUAUUGAGGAAGAUUCGGGUUGAAAUUGAAAUCGGGUUUCUAACGGGUAGGAUUUCGCUGUUGAGUUCUUUGGGCUGGUGUUGGUUUCGCGUCACUAAAAUAGCCAGUGAUGUUUCAGCUGUUGGCAUCCGGCGUUGACGGAGCUUUUGGUCAAUGGAAUUGAAGUCGUUGUUGGCUGAUAGGUGUUAACUGAAAGUUUUUGUACAUUUUUUUUUUUGUUUUGCUCCUAUUGUUUAUUGAUGAUGAAGGAGAAAAGGGGAUUUAGUGCUGGGCCGGGUCAGACUAUUUGGGCCGACUGAAAUUGUUAUUGUGUUGGGUUACUGUUGCUGAUAGUUGGUUUAAUUAGGAAACUGGCCGAAAUUGGUUUAAUUCGGUAUUGGUUAGAUUAUGUAAUUGGAAAUUUGGCCAAUUCAUUUAAGUUUUAGCCAAGUUGAAAAUCAAUUGGCCAAUUAAAUCGCAAUUAUGGCCAAUUUGAUUUCAAUUAUCGCCAAAUCUAAUAGAUUGGCUAAAUUAAAUCAAAAUUCGAAAUGAAUUAAUACCUCCUUUAAUUUUGAACUUCUUGAUUUAAUAAAAUCAAACACAUAUUUAUCCAAAUAAAUUAUGUUGAUAAUAAAUUAUAUUAAAAUCAAGAUUUUAAUUAUUAUAUCUAUUUUCAAAAAAUAAUCCUUAAUUAAAAUUUGAUAUUCCAUAGAAUAAAUAUUUAAGUAAUCAAAUUAUAUAAUCUCAUUUAAUUGAACACGAUAAUAUAUAAUCGCUACUUAAAAAUGACAAAAUUACGUACAAAUAUAUUUUAAAAAAUUUUUAUUCGGAUGAAAUAAAUAUUUCAAUUUUAUUAAAAAUCGAAGAAUCUCAGGAUUAAAUUUAGUCGUGAAGGACAAAAAUUAGGUGUCAACAUUAUAGAUUUCAAGCUAUUUCAGAUGGAUGUCAAAAGUGUCUUCUUGAAUGGUUAUCUGAUGAAAAAGGUCUAUGUAAAACAACCCCCCAGCUUUGAAAGUUUUGAAUUCUCUAAUCAUGUGUAUAAACUUGACAAAUCCCUUUAUGCGUAAACAAGCUCUCAGAGCUUGGUAUGAUAAAUUAUCUUCUUUUGUAGCAUAAAUAUAUAAGGGGGGGAAUUGACAAUACAUUUUUUAUGAGGAAAGAAGGAGUUAAGCUCCUUAUUGUACAAAUAUAUGUGAAUGAGAUAAUUUUUUUAAGCUACUGAUGAUGUGUUGGGUAAUGAGUUUGCCUCCUUGAUGAGCGGUGAAUUUGAAAUAAGUACGAUCAAGGAACUAACUUUCUUUCUAGGAUUGUAGAUAAAUCAAACUAAAGUUGAAUAAUUUAUACACCAACAAAAGUAUGUCAAAGAAUUGUUGAAGAAAUUUGAGACGGAUGAGGACAAGACAAAUAAUAUUCUUAUUGUUACUACCACAAAGCUUAAUAAAGAUGAAUCAAGAGUAUCUAUUAUUGAGAAUAAAUAUAGAGUAAUGAUAGGCUCAUAGCUCUACCUUACUGCAAGCUGACCUGACAUUAUAUACAGUGUGGGGUUAUGUGCUAGAUUUCAAUCCUCUCCUAAGAAAUCUCAGUUAAAGGUUCAAGUCUCAGUUCUCUGGUAUCAUGUUGACGAUUUAUUUCAUAUUAUUAGUUAUGUUGAAAUUGAUUAUGCCAGAUACUUGGUGGAUAGAAAAAGCACCUUUGAAAUGGAAUACUUUUUAGGACCUUAUCCUAUCUCGUGGGUAAAAAGAAAUAAAAUUUAGUAGCAUUCUCAAUUUUUAAGGCUGAAAAUAUGAAUUUUGCUUCUUGUUGUUCUCAACUACUUUGGAAAAAAUAGCAACUCAGUGACUAUGGUAUUAAUUUAGGAUAUACUCAAAUUCUAUUUGACAAUACAAGCGCAGUCAAUAUAGCGAAGAAUACAGUCUAGCAAAAAAAACUAAAUAUAUGAUAUGAGGCAUCACUUUCAUAGAGAUAGUAUAGAAAAGAGGUUGAUUGAAAUGGUGCCUUGUGAAACUGAUGAACAAAUUUUUGAAAUCGUUACCAAAGCUAUGGAAAGAGAAUAUUUUGAAAAGAAUAGGUUAGCCCUUGGGCUGAUUAAUCAACUAUAGUAAGAAAAGAAUCAAACUUCUCUCAAUGAUUGACUAGGAAAAUUGUAAGGUAUAAGAUGAAAUAUGAUAAACAAUAGAUAUUGUAAUUAACUUUGUUUUUGUUCCCUCGAAGGAUAAAACUCACAGCUAAAGGGAUUAAUAAUGGAUCUAAUUAUAAUAUCUUAUUUCUAAUAUUUACAAUCUCACAUAAAGCAGGAAAGUCUUACAAAGACUUGGUCACUAGGUCCGAUACGCACAUCCUUUACAAAGCUUUCAAAUCUUAGUACAAGUCUUUAAAAUAUUAUUAUUUUGUCAUGAGGACCUAAUCCUCAGCAAUGGAUCACUUAUUCUAAAUAAGACAAAAUUCUAAAUGGAAAAAUCAAAUGAGAUGCCAUUGAAUCAUUUAUCCCUCCUUCCAAAAUAGACAACCAUCACCUUAACCAUCUCAACACUUUAGAAACACGCUCUCAAAACUGUCCAUCUUCACAAAACCCUUAACCAAAAUCUCUGGCUUUUCUCUCCCAAAAGCUUAAAGAAUCCUCAACAAAUAUGAAACCUUCAUCAUUAGCCUCAAAACCUACUACUUCUCCAUUCCAUUCCUUCAUGGAUUACUCCUAUGAUGAGGAUUUUUCCCCAUUCACAGGUACACAAUCUCAAGAGAAAUAUCGAUUAUGUUCUUCAUCAUACUCUCUUUCAUCUACUCCUAUUAGAUCACAAUCUCAUAUUCCAUCUCUAAACUUCCCAUCUCUAUAUCAUUAAAAAAUAUGAUUCUCUAAACUAUUCCUGGAGUUCUAAUGAGUAAUCAUUGUUGCUUUCUUCACUAAGAUUCCUAAAACUUCUUAUCUUGAUGAAGAAGAAGUUGACUGUGAUGUAGAUAUUAUCCUUUCCCUAAAAUACAUAAAAGGUAUGUCAUCUUUCAUUCCUGGGUACAAUAAGAGAGUCCCUCAUGAACCUAAAUAAAAAUCCAAGUUCAAACCUUCUCCUCUUUACCUCCUAUAAUGGCAAACACCAAAAAAAAGGGUUGAUGAAGUGAGAGAGAUUGUUGAAGCAAGUAAGAGAUACAAAGUUUCCAAGGUGAAGAAAAAUAUUAGGGAAGAUGAAGAUUUCAUUGGCCUUAAAUAAGAAGAAGAAGAAGAAAAAGAAAAAGAAGAAGAAGAAGAAGAAGAAGAAGAAGAAGAAGAAGAAGAAGAAGAAGAAGAAGAAGAGGGGGAGGAAAGAUGUUCCCUCUCAGAAAUGAAAAGUCAGCAAAAACUAUAAAAAGUUCUUAAGAUUGAGACCAGUUAGCUACUAUGCUACUCAAACCUAUUUGAGAGGAAAAAUUUUUAAUAAUGAGGUACUUGAAAAAAAAAUUAUUCAACAAUUACCUAAUAGUCUUAGAUUUCAAGGUUUGGGGUAAUUGUAUUGUAGACACGUAAAAUUUAUUGGGUCAAAUUCAUAUAAAAUUUGGAUUUGAUUCAUAUUUUAUUGGCCCUAAAAUUAUUUUGGGCUAUAAAAAAUGAUAAGUCCAUUUUAUUCCUCAUCAAGGACUUCAAAGUCCAUUACCCUUGGAAGCCCAAACUCAUCAAGUGACGUGGCAUCCCAGUCAAAUCAAAGACCAAUGAGACGCCGCCACAUGUACAAAUGAUGUGAAAAUCUCAUUCAAAUCCAAGAACCAGUCAAAAGUCACGAAGUGUCAAAGUGACAUGUUUCGGCCAAUCACAAGCAACCAGGCCUACCCCCUACAACUAAAAAUAGGGGGUAACAUGACAUGCUAAAAGGGGGAUUCCGUAAGUAUUGGAUGAAGCUUCUGCAUUGACUACACAGCUCUUCAACGAAUCGACUAACGGAGUUCUGCCCAGAGGUCAACUCGACAAGGCGAAGUGCUGUCAAACAAUUCCUGGAGAUCCAAACAAAUUUUUGGGAGGCUUAAAUCAUCCGAAAGUUUGAGAAUUACACUACAAAGGCCCUCAAAUUAUGGAAAAUCUUAGGAGAGAAGAAUCGAGAGCAUAACAGAAUUGUACCCACAAAAUUACUUUAAAUAAAAUUAUUCUUUUUGUUUAUUUUUAUUUUUGCUUGCAGUUAAUUUUCAGCACAACGAAAAUUUAUUGCGAUCAAAUUUUGGCACGCCCAGUGGGACAAGUUCUGCUCUCAAUCUCUUCUUCCUGCAAAUUAAAUACAACUACUUCUAUGGACUUCAAAAUACGAAAGAUGUCUCAUGCAAGAACUCUGCUACUGCCACAUCUGAUGAGGUCAGCCUUGUUGGUCCCCUCACUCGACGCAAAUUUAAGACCAGUGGUUGGGAAGAAUCUGAAAACUUUACUUUUUUAGAGAAGGCAAAAAAAAAAAGCAAAUCUCAUAUAACGGCUGAAGCUGCAGCUCCUGGGGGAAAUUUGACGUCCUUGCUAUGUGAUGAAUUCUCUCAGAGUGGCGUCAAUUUUAGUGAAUCUAAAGAUUCGACUAAUUUACCAGCCUCAACAAAGUUCAACGCCUUGAUGGCCGACGCAACUUAUAUGGAUGAGAAGUUCGCAAUAAUGGAACAAAAUAUUAAAGUUUUGAAGAAAUCUGUCGAGGAUAAAGAUCUUCAAAUCACUCAACUGAUGGACAAGUUAGAGUCCUUCGCCCCUGGAGAAUCGAUCCACGACCCUGCUUAUCCACCCGACUUUACUCCGCAAAAUAAGGAUGUCGAUAACUCACCUAGCAAGACUAAAUCUCAAAAAUAGAAGCAAUCUACUUCGGUUGCUACUCUAACAGUUCAACAACUGGAAGAUAUGAUUACAAAUACCAUCAAGGCACAAUAUGGCGGUCUAUCACAAAGUUUUGUAGGAUACUCAAAGUCGUAUUCUAAGCGAAUUGAGGGCUUACUGAUUCCAAUUGGAUAUCAACCUCCAAAGUUUCAAUAAUUUGAUGGAAAGGGAAAUCCAAGGCAACACAUCGCUCAUUUCAUUAAAACUUAUAGCAGUGCUGGUACACAUGGUGAUCUUCUUGUCAAGCAAUUUGUUCGCACUUUGAAAGGCAAUGCUUUUGAUUAGUACACGGACUUGGAGUCUGAAUCAAUUAAUUAUUGGGAGCAACUAGAAAGUCAGUUCCUAAAUUAUUUCUACAACACCCAUCGUCUGGUCAGCAUGAUAGAGUUGACAAACAUAAGACAAAGUAAAGAUGAGCCUGUCAAGGACUACAUAAAUCAUUGGCGAACAUUGAGCAUUGAUUGCAAGGAUCAAUUUUCUGGAACUUUCGCGGUUGAAGUUUGCAUUCAAGGGAUACAUUGGGGCCUUGUGUAUAUCCUCCAAGGAAUUAAGCCUCGAACUUUUGAAGAAUUAGCUACGCGCGCUCAUGACAUGGAGUUAAGUACUGUAAGUCAUAGAAUGGUGUCGCCUAUUUUUUAUCCUAAAAAAGAAGUCACAAAAUUCAACGACUCAGAGAAUCAAAUUGGGGAAUCUAUGGUGAAGACUGUGAGUUCUAUGAAGGCGUCCACAAGAUAAAAACUGAAAGAGAAAGCUCCAAAGUGACAAAUGCAAGAAGUGAAAAAUCGACUAACCUUGAAAGAGUUACAAGCAAGGGUAUAUCCUUUUUCCAAUUCUGAUGUUCCUGGAAUUCUAGACGAGUUGCUAGCCAAAGAAGUCAUUGAACUCCUAAGUCAAAGCGAUCUGAAGAAUCAAACAAAGUUCAUGAGCCUAAGUACUGCAAAUUUCACCUCAUUGUUGGUCAUCACACCAUAAAAUGAUUCAUCCUAAAGGAAAAGAUCAUGACAUUAAUGCAAAAGGGAAAGAUCAUCAUCGAUGAUAGCGAUACAGUUGAUGCAAACCAUGUUAGCACGGAAUUGGAACAUAAAAAAGGUUCAAUUUCAAAAGUUCUACAACCCAUGCGCUCUACGGCAUCAUCAAAAGGUGAGAGAAUCAUCAUGCUACAAUUUGGAGGCUUUGACCCAAUUGGAGUUCCAGCCCUGAAGAAAGCAACAAGUAAAUUCAUGCAAAACGACUUCUCCAAUAGUAAGAAGGGUGAUACUUGGAUAUUGAUCGCUCGCAAAGAAAAAAAUGUCAAAAGGCUUCUAAACUCCAGCUUUCAAAAGAUGACCCAAGAUCAAAUGUAUAUCUGCUUCAACCAAUGGGGGCAGUAAAUACCAAAUGAAAGUGCAACAAUACUUCAUUAUAAAGGGUUGGGAGGAAAGUUACAUUACAAGAAUUCUUUCCCAAGCUGCUUCUUAACGCACAAGCAUAAACUGCAUGAUGCUCCUCAACGCAUGAGCCAAAAAUGUAAGUCAAGAUUCUCCUCGAUGCACGAGCCUAAAUUGUAAGUCAAUAUAUCCUCGAUGCAUGAGCCUAAACUGCAAGUCAAGUUGCUCCUCGAUGCAAGAGCCUAAACUGCAAGUCAAGAUGCUCCGAUGCAUAAGCCUAAAUUGCAAGUCAAAAUGCUUCUUGAUACACGAGCCUAAACUGUAAGUCAAGUCACUCCUCGACGCACCAGCCUAAACUGAAAAUCAAACUACUCAUUGAUGCACGAUCAUAAAUUGCAAGUUAAAUCACUCCUAGCCUGCAUGAGUCUAAACUGUGAACGGCUCUACCACAAAAAUAGUAAAAUAGUAAAAUAGCAAAAAAAAGAAAAGUAUGAAGCUUGAAUGCAUAUUUGGAGUGCUUUGAAUAUGUCAUUUUUAAAGCAAAAGGAAUCUUCAUUAUCUCCAAGCAAUGAAGUCUUAUCGACAAGUAAAAAAAACUUGUGGUACUUUGAAUAUUGUUCUAGUCCGGCCUUCACCAAAUUACAGAAGUGAUGCAUCCCAAAACUUGAAGUAGAAGAAGAAAUUCAUGAAGUAUCCAAAUCUGACGAGAAGUAGAGUAUCACAAGAUUUAGGCUGCAACUUUGAAAAAGAACCUGAAAAAAUAUAGAAGUUCAAUGAUGGUAGUUUACAUGUGAAAUGUAGCUCUGCAAAUCUACUUUCCAAUGCAAAAAACGGCACUUGAUUUCGAUACUUUCACGUCAAGAUAUGGAAUUUAUCGUGACGCUGCGUAAAGCUGAAAUAACUAGCAAACCAAGAUUAGAAGGCCCUCUUUGGAGCAAUAUAUGGGAUGAUUAGGAUGCAAUCUGAUUGUGGUUUCCAUGUGAGACGUAAAUUUGUGAAUCUACUUUCCAAUGCAAAAAUGGCACCUGAUUUCGAUACUUCCACAUCAAGAUAUGGAAUUUCUCGUGACGCUGCGCAAAGUUGAAAUAACUAGCAAACCAAGAUUAGAAAGCUGUCUUUGGAGCAAUAUCUGGGACGAUUAGGAUGCAAUCUGAUUGUGAUUUCUGCUUAAGACGUAGAUCUACGAGUCUAGUUUCCAACGCAAAAAACGGAGCCUGAUUUUGAUGUUCCUAAGUCAGGAUAUAAGAGUUUCGUAAGACUGCACAAAACAAGAAAAAAGUGACGAAACAGAACUAUAAGUCUGAUUUUGAGACGAUCCUGGGUAGAUCUGGCUAUAAGAUGAGCGUGUUUUUCGGGUAGAACGUAGCCUUGCGAUUCUACUUUCCAACACUACAAGCCGUUUCUGAUUCAGACACCUCCACGAUGCGUUAUGAAGCUUCUUCCACAGACGCGCCAAAGUACCGAAAGCUUAAUUAUGAAAACAAAAAAGAGCAAAAAGAGGAGAAGAACGGGAGUUGAAUUUCUUCUCAGGCUUAAUUACAAUGAUUUAAGGGGCUGUUGAUGUCCUUUUAUAGACUCUGAAAGGCCCCAAUUUGAUUUCAAAAAGGAUUCUGCUGAACAAAGUUGUCUUCAACAAGAAUUGGGAUGUUUAAGUGUCCAAAAUAAGUCAAAUUCCUAAUCCUUUUUGAAGUGGGAUAACAUCAUUAAUCAAUCCUAUUAAAACUAGAUAUAGGACUAAUAGCCGAAUCCUACAUGAUUUGGAUAUAUUUAGUCUUAAACAGAAUUUACACUGGAUUCACGUUAUUCUACCCGGAUAAUCAUGACUUUAAGGAGUUGGAUGUUGACAAAAUGCUCAAGUCUUAGAAAAAAAAUAGGGCUUCACAAAUACUUCAAAUCUCGUCUCUAACAGGUUUAACAAACCAAACACAUUGACGAGCCUUGAAGUAGGGGGCAUCUGUACAUACGUAAAAUUUAUUGGGUCAAAUUCAUAUAAAAUUUGGAUUUGAUUCAUACUUUAUUGGGCCUAAAAUUAGUUUGGGCUAUAAAAAAUGAUAAGUCCAUUUUAUUCCUCAUCAAGGACUUCAAAGUCCAUUACACUUGGAAGCCCAAACUCAUUAAGUGACGUGGCAUCCCAGUCAAAUCCAAGAUCAAUGAGACGCCGCCACAUGUACAAAUGAUGUGAAAAUCUCAUUCAAAUCCAAGAACCAGUCAAAAGUCGCCAAGUGUCAAAGUGACAUGUUUCCGCCAAUCACAAGCAACCAGGCCUACCCCCUACAACUAUAAAUAGAGGGUAACAUGACAUGGUAAAAGAGGGAUUCCGUAAGCAUUGGAGGAAGCUUCUGCAUUGACUACACAGCUCUUCAACAAAUCGACUAACAAAGUUCUGCCCGGAGGUCAACUCGACAAGAUGAAGUGUUGUCAAACAAUUCCUGGAGAUCCAAAUAAAUUUCUGGGAGGCUCAAAUCAUCCAGAAGUUAAAGAAUUACGCUACAAAGGCCCUCGAAUUACGAAAAAUCUUAGGAGAGAAGAAUCGAGAGAAAAACAAAAUUGUACUCACAAAAUUGCUUUAAAUAAAAUUAUUCUUUUUGUUUAUUUUUAUUUUUGCUUGCAGUUAAUUUUCAGCACAACGAAAAUUUGUUGCGAACAUGUAUAAACUGAAAAAGCCUUAAAUGUUUUAAAAAGAUAUGGUAGAGUUUUAUGCUAAUCUGAAAAAGUAGAAUUGUCUUUGACCCUAUCAAAUUAAAAAAAAAUCCUUAAUAUGCCCUCUGAGGGGUUAGAGUAGUAUGUCUGGAAUACAUAUAAGGGGUCUUUAUUGACAAGAAAGUUUACUUAGGAGAAAGAAAAGAAGAUUCGUAGAACAGUGUAUGAGGGAGAAAUAUCUCCAGGUCAUAAGCUCUUAUUUAAUGUUGUGAAUAAAGAAAUAUGAGGUUAGUUUUAAGGAUCUAAGAAUCAUGAAGGCCAUGGAUAUGGAUGAGAAAGUUAACUUUCCUACUCUUAUGAUCAAACAUAUGAAGCGAGUCAUGUUUCCUAGGAUAGGGCCUAACGGUCUAUGCAUGGAUUUCUACUCACUGUUUUUAGGAGCUUUGGUGUGCCUCCGAAGAAGGGGGUAGCAACUAUAAGAAGUGACAAAAUUACAAACAUAACCUUAGAUAACUGUAACAGCCUACCUGAAAAACUCAUUGAAAACAAAAGCUCAAACUCAGAUAUUGGAGGUUCUUGAAGCUGCAAAUAAGGAGAAUCUCAAGUUGAGAGAAGAGAUUAUUUAGUUGAAGGCAACAUUGGCAGCUUUCCAAGCUCAAGUCCACACCCUGGGAGACGACAUAUUAUUGCCGCAGAACAAACAUCUUGAGAACAUACAAUCAGUCAUGGAACUCCUUCCAAAAGUUAAGCCACCUUCCAUAUCCACUUCCCAAGAUCCUGAUUAUCCAGUGUUUCUAAUAACUACUUUGUUCUCAUGGCAGAUAAUUUUUAUUAUUUUUACCUAAUGUUUGGAUGAAUUUUUAGGCCACCGGUUGACUUAAAUAUGUGCAAACUUUGCUUAGUAGGCUUAUAUUUGUUUGUAAUUGGUAAAUGCUUGAAAUAGAUAAUCUCCUUAGAUUUUGAAUGCGGUGUUUCUUUAGCAUGUGGCUUUGUUGCCUAAAUGGCAUGAGUUGUUAAUAUUACGUCGUAUAUUUAUCAUACAUAAUCUUAAUUUUAUUUUUCAAUUAUGUUAGGAAAAAAAAGGGGGGGGAUAAAGUCGUAGUUCUUAAGGUGCUAGAAGUGCUUAUGUAGUUAUGUGGUAUCCUGUAGUCUUAUGAUGAGCAGGUGGAUAUUUGUCAUGUGCUCUAAUAAUAGGAUUUGUAUUAUUGUCAUACUGUUGUAUUAAAAAUGAUAGGGAUCAAGUACACAAAUAGAUAUAGGUUUGCAAUUAUCAAAAAGAGAAAAAUAAAAGAUUCCUUGUCAUACAAGUUUUGAUGGUAGGCAAAUCUUAUUUUUGGUAUGGUUCUAUUUAUGGAGUAUUCCUAUGAAUGGUAUUAAUUGUAUCUGUAUUAGGCAAGAAAAGUUGUGUCCUUUGACUAACGAGGAAAGACUUUAGAGUCAGGUUUCCAAGAAAAGACAUCUUGAUGUAUCUAUAAAAAAAGUAGGACGAGAUAGUUUUGGACCACCUAUUGCAUACACACAAAAAGCAUUAUUCUCAAGUAGUAGGAGAUCACAACAAGUAAAUAUAAAGUCAUCCAUUGAAGGCAAAUCAUAGUUGAGUUCUUGAUUAUAGUUGAAGGUCAUUUUGUUAUUACUAAGUAUUAUUAGAGUCUAUCUAUUUAGUUAUUGCUAUUUUAUUAUGAUAUCUACUGUGAUUUAAUUGGUGAGUCUUGUAAUACAAAGUAGGUUUAGAUUCUUGGAAGAGUUCUUGUUAGGAACAGUUAUAACUAACUGUUUAUGUCUAGGUAUUAGAAUUAGUUCUUUGUUUAUUUUGUUGUGAUAAUUAAAAAUCAAUUUUAGUAGAUUUGAAUUUGUGGUGGUUACUCCUUGAGAAUGGAGGAUUUUUCAUGUAACUUGAUUGUGAAUUUACAUACUGAUCAAGUAAUAUCUUUAAGAACCAGGUUCCUAAGAAAAGCAAUUGGCACUAGCUUUCUUCACUUCUGUACUUCAAAGAGCAGCAAGACAUGAGGUUAAUGCAUUAUCUAGGAUGAGUCAUACAUGCACCUAUGCCCCAUUGUAUUAUAUAUCAAUUUUUUAUGUUAUUGUUUAUACUUAUUAUUUGUAUUAAUGAUUUCAAUUCAAUUACUUUACUUGUAUAUUUUCAUUACAUGUCUUAUCAGAGGCGAAUCCAAGAUUCAAAAGCUCCGGAUGCCACCUUAUUUUGAACAAUAACGUAUACUCCGUACGAUAUUUUAGGAUAGUGGAAUUAAUAUUCAAAGAGUAAACUAUAAUUAUAUAUAUCUAACAAGUGUUAGUAUUACAUGAAGGUUUGCCUAGUUGGUAUUGUCAAGUUCUUUGUAAAGAAGAGGUCAUGAGUUCUAUUCUUAUAGCUACACUAUGUUCUUUUCUUUAAGAGAAAACAGACAAGUGCUAAAAAUCAUUCUAAAAAUACAAUGCAGAGCAGGUUUUGAACCCGCAUUGUUGGAGUUAACCCCAACAAUUUCGACCACUUACACCACUAGUCCCUGAUACAUAUAUACAUAAAUAUACAGAGUUUCAUCCGAGAACUGCGUAUUCCAUGCCACCCCAUACCUUCUACAUAAAUCCGCCCCUGCGUCUUAUAUUAUUUAUACCUUAUGUAUUACUAGUUUCUAAAAACUUAUCCCAUAAUAAGCUAAGAUGACAAGCCAAUAAUAUCUUUAGAGUCGCAUUUGUUUUGAGUGUGUAUAGGAGGAGCAAGAGGUCAAGCAAUAGUUAAUUAGUAACUCAAUUUUCAUCAAUCAUUUCAGUUGAUAUGAGCCUCUAUUGUAUUAUGGUGGUUACUUUCUCUUAAUAAACUUAAUACUUGAUUAUUAUUGAUCGAUUUGUGUUUCACAUUUUAUAUCCAGAUAUUAAUAGCUUUAUGACUUUUGAGUUUUGAAAUUAUAUGAAAAGACUAAUGUUAUACUACAUCGAUUUCACACUUUUAUCUAUAUUGAUACAAUUUGAGUUUGUAUUUUGCUAUUGAGAAUUUCAAAUAAAGAAUAAGAGAAAGACACAAGAUUUAACGUCGUUCGAAUUCAAAUGAUCCUACAUCCACCAGAGAACAACUAUCUUUAUAUAAUUAACAAAGAAUGGAGAGAGGUUCUAAAUAUACCUAAACAAAUUGCUCUCUCAACUCUAUACUCCAACAAUGUAUUAAACUAAUAAAUUUUUUGGAUAGUUUCAACAAUGAAGAAUGGUCAUCCUUUUAAAGACCAAACUUGGACUCCAAACACAACAUAAGAAAAGAAAAAAUAUAUAUAUAAAAUUUGUCCUCCACAAAUUUUGCUUGCAGUCAAGUUUACUUUUUAGUCAAGUAAUUUGGCACAUGAAAUUUUCUUCCACGUGGAUUAAACCCCACAAAAGUCAAACUAACUCUUUUAGUAUCCAUCUUGAUUUAAAGUUCGAGCAUAUAUAUAUGACCAACUCUGACCAAAACUUCUAGGCUAACGGAAUAUCUCCAUUGUAAGAAACGAGAAUAAUUAAACCAUUGAACAUACUAACUCUACCUAGAAGUUAUUCUUCCAGAGUUGCACCAAUUGAUGCACACUCCCACUAAGUCCUUAUAUUGUGUAAACUUAGUGAGUAGGACUAUCUUUGUCAACAUGUUUGUAGUGUUUUCAUCUGUGAUAACAUUCUUAACCUUGAUAGUUUUCCAUUCACUGACAUCUCUAAUGAAAUAAAAUUUGACAGUAAUGUGUUUGGUGUGCUAAUGAAUUCUUUGAUUUUUAAUCAAAUAAAUAACACUUUGACCAUUAUAUCGUAGAGUUGAUUUUAGAUGAAUCAAACUCAAUUUUGCCACUAAACCUUUCAACCAGAUAGAUUCUUUCACUCCCUUUGUUGCAAUCAUAUAUUCUGACCCUGUUGUAGACAAAGUGAUAAUUUACUAUAAAGUCAAUUUUCAACUAACGGCACUGUCAAUGAGAGUAAAAAUGUAACCAAUUAUGGACCGUCUUCUAUCGAGAUCCCCUACAUAGUUAGAAUUCACAUAACUGAGAACUAAAAUGCCUUCACUUUUUUAAAAGGUUAGGCAAACAUAUGAAGCUCCUUUGAGAUAUCUCAAUAUCUACUUGACAAUUUUUUAAUGCCUCUUUCCUAUGUUAGGCAUGUACCUAAUUACCACAUUUAUAGAUAAGCAAUAUUUAGACAUGUGCAUAUCAUAACAUAUAUAAUGUUACCAACUGCGCUAGCAUAAGGAACCUUUGAUAUAUGUUCCACCUCAUCCUCAAACUGAGGUAUUUAUAACUCUGAAAGUUUAAAAUAAGAACCAAAUAGUAUACUUACAGGCUUGCUCAUAUGCAUAUUGAAUCUACUUUUUGAUGUACCUCUUCGAAGAAAGAUGCACAACACCAUCUUCUCUUGAAAUCUACAUUCUAAGAAUUUUCCAUGAAGCUCCUACAUCCUUCAUUUCAAACUCCUUAUUCUAGAGUUUCUUCAAAGCAUUUCUCAUAGAUAUCUUUUUAUGAUACACAGAGCUAUCAAAUACACUUCUUGAGAAUCCAUAUGUAGUCGUGAAUGAAUCAAACCUCCUAUAUUAGUGUCUUCGGGAUUGCUUCAAACCAUAGAAAGACUUUUUUGAGUUGGCACACAUUAUCUUCUUUUCCCUCAACCAGGAAACCUCCAGGCUAAUUUAUAUAGAUUUUCAUGUAAGAGAGCAGUUUUGAUAUCCAACUAUUGAAGCUCCAAGUCAAAUUGGAAACUCAAUGCUAGUAGCAUAAAAAUUGAGUUAUAUGUUACGACUAGAGAGAAGAUCUCAUUAUAAUCAUUUUUCUCCUUCUGACUAAAAUCCUUUGUAACCAAUCUCGCCUAGAACCUUGCAUCUUCUACUUUUGAAAUUCCCUCUUUCUUUCUGUAGAUUCAUUUUCAACCAACUGUCCUCUUCUCCUUUGUCCUUUUAACUAAGGCUCAUGUCUAAUUUCUAUUAAGAGAAUUCAUCUCUUCCGUUAUGGCGAACUGUCAUUAUGCAGCAUCCUUGUAUGAAGUUUCUUCAACAUAUGAGGAGGGUUCAAGAUUCUUUAUAACUUAUCGUUUCUCAGCAAGUCAGAGGGCCCCCGGUCAAUUUUCAAUCCAAAAAUUCAUCGGGCCCUGAACCCACCCCAGAACCGUGGGUUAUAUAGCCUAUCAAUUUGGCCCAAAAAUAUCUCGUUCGCGCCAUUUCACCCGUUUGAUUGCCCAGAUGUCCUCCGCCAACCCAAUCAAACUACGCUCACUUACUCCUUAGCCAAUCGGGGGGUCGUUGGUUGAUUUUUGGCCUAAAAAUCCAUCGAUCCCCAGGCCCACUCCCAGAACCAUGGGCUAUAGCCCACUGAUUUAGCCUAAAAAUGACCCAUUCACAUCAUUUUGACCAUUUGACUGCUAUCCUCUAUGGAUAUGAAUGUAUAUGCAAUCAUAUUUGCUGCUCUAUAAGGCAUUUUGAUUUUCGUAUAUGCCUUUUGUCCCUUACCUUUGCAAUUGUGUAUGGUUCAUUGACAGCAAGUUCUUCAAGAUCAAUAAUUUUUUACUCAUCAACUUAAGUUACUUAAUUCUUCUCCUUAAUAAGCUCCACCUACUUCUUGUUCUCGAUUUUUGAUAAUUCCACAAAAACUUAUGAGGAUCAAGUACAAAAAUUCAUCAAAGGUAACAUCUCUACUAACUACAAGUUUAAGUAAAGACAAACACCAAAGUUUAUACCCUUUUACUCUAUCCACAAACCCUACAAAUAUGUCUUUCCUAACCUUCGUUAAGCAUUCCUUCAUUAACUAUGAUAAUAAGUUGGACAUCCAAAUACUCACAAGUAUGAAUAGUUAGAGAAUUCGCCAAAUCAUACCUCAUUUGAAAUCUAAAAUUCAAUCGCUGACGUUAGAGAUCGAUUAACAAUUUAAGAAGCAGUUUAAACUACUUCAGCCUGAAACACGUUGGAUAUUUUGGUUUGUAGGAGUACACAACAAGCCUUUCUAAGAAGAAUUUUGUUCAUUAUCUCAGCAAUUCCAUUUUGUUUUGUUGUGUUCCAAAUCGUCUUAUGUCUUGAGAUCUCAUGAAUUUUGGAAAAAUCAUUUAACUUUUCAUUGCAAAACUCCAAGCCAUUGUCUGUGCGAAGAUACUUGAUUUUUUGCUCAUUUGAUUCUCAGCCAAUAUCUUUCACUCCUUAAAUACUUAAAAAGCAUCACUUUCUGACUUUAAAAAACACACUCAAAUCUUUUAUGAAAAAUUAUUAAUGAAUGUGAGAAGAUACCUCUUUCCAUCCUUUGAUGAAACUUUAGAGGGACUCCAUAAAUAUGAAUGGAUAUAGUCUAUCACCCCUCCCGUCUUAUUCUUGACAGUGCUAAAGCUCACCUUUUUCUACUUUCAUAGGAUGUAGUAAUCAUAAAAUUCAAGUGUGUUGAUCUUCUCACCAUUCAAAAAGUUUUGGUUGUUCAGCAUCUCCAAUCCUAGUGUGUUCAUGUAACCCAAUAUCAUGUGCCAUAAUCUUGCCUUGUUAUUAUUGAUAACUGUACUAUAAAUAUAUUAAUAUAGCUAAUAAUGGCAUUUCCUGUCAGUGUGUACAGAUCAUCCUCCAGCUUGGACUUGAGCAUAACUAAAGAACCUUUAACCACCUUCAUAGUUCCUUUUUUGAUCAUGUACUUACAACCUUGUUUAUUCAGAGUAUUCAGGAAGAUCAAAUUUUUCUUCAGAUUAGAAAUAUGAUGGACUUCUAUAAUAGUCCUCACGAUUUUAUCGUGGCAGUGAACCUAAACUGAGCCAAUGCCAACUAUUUCACAAAUUCCAUUGUUGUCUAUUACUAUGAUUCUUCCAAUUUUCUCGUAGUUACUGAACCAGUCUCUUCAAAAUGUCAUAUGUAGAGUACAAUCAUAGUCUAAGUACAUAUUCAUCAUAUGAAUCGUGUACUUAUUCAAUAAUGAAUGCAACUGCCUUUUCUUUAGACUAUGACAUCGGGAAAUCUCAUUGGGAAAUCUCCUUCAAAGUACCCUUUUUUGUAACAGCCUCAACACUUUGCAUUUUUUUUGUUCAAAAUAAAAUUCAAUUUGUGUUUUGAUUUGCUCCUUUCUUAUUGGCUAGUACGACCUCUCACAAAGAGUCCACUAGCUUCAUCAUCUUUGUCUCCUUAAAAAUGCCUCCGCACAUUAAAAAAGUUUAGUGUUUGCCACACUUUCUCAAGAGUUAUAGGCUCCUUUCUAUACAUCAUUAAAUUCUCAAUGUCACGAUAGUUUGAAGUCAAUGAAAAUAGCAAAGCACAUGUUAAUAUCUCUUGGUUCUUUUUAAUUUCGACGAUCAGUAAGUCCAUGACAAAUUUAUUAAACACAUUAGAUGGUCUUGCAAUGCAGUACCUGACUCCAUCUUAAAUGUGUCAAGAUAUUGUUGUAACAAUAUCCUUGUUGUCAUCGAUCAAUCUUGAUAAAGCCCUUGCAGCUUGUCUCAUAACUAUUUGGUUGUCUCAUCGGUAUCUGUACUCACUUUAUAAAGCACGUUACAUGCAAGGGACAGAUGGAUAACACUCAAUCCAUUGCCUUCAUUCUUCUCCUUGUCAAAAUUUGAUGUACCAUCGGAGUACUUUCCUCAAUAGCAUGGAUUUAACCUUUCCUCUACAGUAACACCGUCAUCUAGUUUUUCUAGAUAUUGAAGUUGUUGUGCCCACUAAAUCUAUCAAUUUCAAAUUUUAUAAAACUCAUCACUACUUUUUCUUUAUCUUCUACUAUGAAUAGUAUUUGAAAAUAUAGAAAAUCAAAGUAAUUCUUUUCUGAUGUGGAAGUUCAAGCUAUGUUGCAACCAUAGAGCAUACUCAGAUAGAAUCCAGCUCUUAUAUCAAUUAUUAGCAAAAACGUGAAAUAAAGAACAAGAGAAAGACACAUGGUUUAACGUGGUUCAAAUCCGAAUGAUCCUACAUCCACCCGAGAAUAACUGUCUUUAAAUUAUUAAUGAAGAAAAUGAGAGAUCUCAAAUACACCUAAGAGAAUUGCUCUCUCAACUCUCUACUCUUACAAUGUAUUUAACUAUGAAUUUUGGAUGAUUUCAACAAUGAAAAAAAUCACCCUUUUAUAGAUGACCAAACUUGGGCUCCAAGCAUAAUAUAAGAAAAGGUUUUCCCAAGUUUUGUUUUAUUCGCAAAUCGACAACUGACUAAUGAAGGUAUGGAGUUGUGUUUCUCUUUUGGAGGUUCAUUAAUGGUAACAACAGCUUAGUCAAGCUUAGUGAAGAAGAUUAACAUUUUGACAAGUAGACUUGAAGUUCUCAAUUGUUCUUGAGUUUUCAGUCUCUUCCUCUUCUUGUUUUUUUUCUCGAUUAGGAUAGCUUAGGAAUGUUUUUGCUUUCCUAUUUUACUUUGUCUAUCUUUUGUUUGGGCCUGGGUUAUUUGGACUCGGGUCAUACACUUGGUUUUACUUUUUAAAAAAAAUAGGUUUAGCUUGAUUUGGAAUUUUUCUAAAAAAUAAAUAAAUAAAUACAAAAUUUGUUCUUCACAAAUUUUUGCUUGCUCUCCAAAUUUACUUCGUAAUAAAAUAAUUUUGCACAAAAAAAAUUCUUCCACAUAAAUUAGUGUAACGCCCUGAAAUCUGACUUCCCGGGAUGACACACGAUGCUCCGAACUAUAAGUAGUCCUGAGCUAACCCUGGCUGCUUUCUACUAAGUCUAGAUCUCAAAAUAGGGGAAAUAUGAAUAUGAAAACAUAAUAAAUGCGGAAAUUUUAUCUAAAACAUAUUAAUCUCACAAGUCUUGGUAAAACAAUAUUGAAAAAUCUGAAUACUGAGUCCAAAGUCUAAAACUGAAUCUAGUAGUCCAACAAGCCUCUACUGACUGAGUCCAGAGAGUCAUUGGGACAGGCCCCAACUGACUCAAACUAUCUGAAAUGAAUAAUGAAACAUCUACUAAUAAACCGAAAAUCUGAAUUGCUAAGUCCUAGAACUAUGAGGACUCACCAACUGUAGGGAUGAAGAUGAGAUGCUCGAAAAUCACUCACGCUACUGAGACUGAGCACCUGAACCUACAUUAUAAGACAAUGUAGCACAUAGACGUAUAUGUGGAUCAGUACUUUAAUGAUGUACUGAGCAUAUGGAGGUGAAUGCAAUAAGUAAACAAUGUCAUCACAAUUUAUAAAAUUAUGCAUGCUAAAAGUAAAUGACUCACAUAGGCUUAAGUAAUCUAAAAUUGAAGAUCGUAAAUCAUUAAUAGUAAAGCACAUAAUAUAAAUCUUGUGCGCCAUUACACUUAGUUCUGAUAUUUGUGUUCUAUUCUUAUUCUCAAAUCAUAUAGGUUAAGUGAAAUCUGUAAGUCUGUAUAGAAAAUACUUUAUCUUUUAUCUGAAGGUUUAUCUGUAGGAGAGGUUCUUCUAACCGACAUAAACCAUGCGAGCAUUCAUGAAGUCCAACGUUCUUGUCCCCCUAAGGAGGAAUCCUCACGUUGGUGAGAGGAGUCAUACUCUUGCCAGGGAGUAUAACCUAUCUAAGUGAUCACAUCUCUAUCAUCCAUGUAGAAGUGAGAAUAAUCUAAAUCCUACGUUGGCAUGUAGUUUUGGGGUAUGAAACCGUAUUAAUGUACCCAUCUCAGUGCUAAAUACUACUCCCAUUAAAUCUGUGAACUCAUUCUGAAGAAAAUCCACUUUAAAAUAGUCUAAUGGUCGGUAAUAAAAACCAAUUGUAUAUCUGUAAAAUUAAAUCGAUAAUUUAAAUUUGUAAAGUGUAUUUCAUAUUUAUUCUGAGACCAAAAGGUCAAAUCUUUAUCAAUAAUCUAAAAAUAAUCUAGUCAUAAAGUGCUCAUAGUACAACAAAUCUUGAAAUAGCGAUCUUAAAUUUGAGCUUAAUGACCCAUGUAUCAAUCUCAUGUUAAAACAUCAAAAUGUUCAUGCUUGAUAAUAUAAACAUUGAUAAUUUAACUCAAAAUCUGGAAAUUUCUGCAAUAUGCAUGAAAAUAUGAACAUAAUAAUGUAAUUCAACUUCUAAAUCAAUGAAAAUCUCAUAAUCUUAGGAAUAGCAAUAUUGGGUAUAAACCCUAACUUCAAUUUCAUGAGAAAUCACAUAAAAUUAAAUAACUUUUGUAAUUAAAACAAGUUUUGGGCACAAUAAUGAAAGAAGUAUCCUUGUUCAUAACCCCACGCACCUCAAUUGAUGAACUAGAUUCUAAAACUAGAAUCUUAGAUCUCUAUUGUUGCUUUGGAGAUGAAUUCUUAGAGUUCUUGAAUUGGGGAUUCUUAAUCUUGAAUUUCUUUGGAGAAGUAAUGGAGGAAUUUGGAUUCGUUUGUUGAACUAGGAUUUUUCUUGAGAGAGAUUUGAUGAAAAAUGUAUGUAAAGUGCUUUGAAGGAGUUUAAUUCAUUAUUUAAGACGGAUUAAGAUUUGGGAUAUUUACCAAAAUGCCCCUCUUAAACUCAUAAAUAGAACUGGAAAAAUGACCAAAAUCCCGAUUUUUGGCCUUGGCACAAUGCACCACUAUCGCGCCAAGCCACUGGAAAAUGCCAAAUAGGAAUAUGUAUGGUGGCGCGACGCGGUCGUAUCGCGUUGCCACCUCGGAUGGGACCUGGAAACUUGGCGCGAUGCGCCAAUAUCGCGGACCCUCACUGGAAUUGGACAAUUGAGAAUUUGGCCCUCUCCGCGACGCGCCAAUAUCACGAAAUGCCACUGAAAAUUGACAAACGAUAUUUAAACCUUCUCCGGGAUGCGCUAAUAACCUAAAUAACGGUGUCUUACGACUGGAACUUAAAAUAGUCAUAACUUCUUACUCGGUGAACGAAUUUAUGCGAAUCUUAUAUCGUUGGAAAGCUUAUUCAAUUUCCCACACAAUGGGAUGUCUAAAUAUGAAAAAUUCUAUGCAAAAAAUAUAUUAUCUAUCUUGGAAUCUUUUCUUUAACCUUCUAGGGAUGAAUUCAAGCUAGGAAAAGUACGGGGUGUUACAAUAUCUCUCUCUUGGGAACAUUCGUCCUCGAAUAUUGUUAAUUAGACUAGGAAUAUUGAAGAAUCUGAGGAUACAUAAUAAUCAUUCACAACUGGAAUAAAUUGCUAAACUGAAUCUAAAUCAUUCUGAGCUUCUUAGAAAUCUAUGAGUGCAUGAAUUUACAUGAGGACAACGAUAUAGUUGAAUAUAUAAUUAGAAAAGAAUGGGAUUAAGAAAGAGUAUUACCUUCAGCUAGUUUGCGGAGAAGGGGUGAGGGUACUUGGCUCACAUAUCUGCUUCUACUUCCCAAGUAGUGCCCUCAACAGACUGAUUCUGCCGAAGAACUUUGACCAAGGGAACUUCUUUGUUCCUUAGUCUACGGAUCUGAUGAUCUAAAAUCUCAACUGGAAUCUCUUCAUAUGACAGGCUGUUCUGGAUAUCUGAUCUUUCUAAGGAAACUACAACAGUAGAGUCACCGAUGCACUUCUUAAGCAUAGAGACGUGGAUCACGGGAUGAACGGCUAAAAAUCUGCGGGAAAAUCAAGCUCAUAAGCUACUUUCCCAACACGACUCAAUAUUCUGUAAGGGCCAACAUAUCGGGGACUACGUUUCCCCUUUUUACCAAAUCUAUUCACCCUUUUCAUAGGUGAAAGCUUCAAAUACACUAAAUCGCUAACCUCAAACUCGAGGUACCUUCUUCUUAUAUUCACAUAUGACUUCUGAUGACUCUAGGUUAUUUUCAAUCUUUCUCUAAUCAACUUAACUUUGUCCAUAGCUUCAAAUACUGCAUCGGGCCCAAGCAAAGCGACUUUACCCAUUUCAAACCAACCUAUGGGUGAUCUGCAUCUUCGCCCAUAUAGAGCCUCAAACGGGGCCAUUUGAAUGUUAGAAUAGUAACUGUUAUUAUAAGCAAACUCAAUCAAUGGCAAAUGCCCAUCCCAACUACAUUUGAAAUCAAGAGCACAUGCCCUUAGCAUAUCUUCUAGAGUUUGGAUGGUCCUCUCUGCUUGACCAUCUGUCUGAGGGUGGAAAGCUGAACUAAGAUGAACUUGGGUACCAAGACCCUUCUGAAAAGCUCUCCAAAACUGGGAAGUAAACUGAGUACCCCUGUCUGAGAUGAUAGACAAAGGAACUUUAUAUAAUCUGACUAACUCUCGGAUAUACAACUUAGCAUAAUCCUCAGUUGUAUAAGACGUGUGAACUGGCAAGAAAUGAGCUGACUUAAUCAAUCUGUCUACAAUAACCCAAACCAAGUCAUGAUGACGGCGCGAAUAGGGUAAACCAGUCACAAAAUUCAUAUUACCUCUUCCCAUUUCCAAGUGGGGAUACCAAACUCUUGCAACGUACAACCAGGCCUUUGAUGCUCUACCUUAACCUGUUGACAAGUUACACACUUUGCUACAAACUUUGCUAUAUCUUUCUUGAUACCACUCCACCAAUAGAUAAGCCACAAAUCGCGGUAUAUCUUGGUAACACCUGGAUUAAUAGAAUAACGCAAACCAUGCGCUUCCGCCAUAAUUAUUUGUCUUAACUCAUCAAUGCAGGGCACAUACAAUCUACUUUGGUAUCUUAACACAUCAUCUCCCCCAUGGGAGAAAACCUCCACCUUUUGAUCUUUAAUCGACUCAUUCAAUUUGACCAAACUAGAAUCCAUAUCUUGUUUCUCCUUCACUUCCGAAACUAGGAAAGAUUCGAAUCUACUCUGAACCCAAACAUUCCCUUCAGCUGAAUCAACCAACUUAACACCCAAUCUAGCUAAUCGAUGAACUUCACGAGCUAACUCUUUCUUGUCGCUCUCCACAUGAGUAACACUUCCCAUUGACAAUCAACUAAGGGUGUAUGCCACUACAUUGGCCUUUCCCGGAUGAUACAACACAUUUAUGUCAUAAUCCUUCAACAACUCCAACCACCUUCUCUGACGGAGAUUCAACUCCCUCUAAGUAAACACAUACUACAAGCUUUUGGGGUCUAUGAACACAUCAACAUGCAUACCAUACAGAUAAUGUCUCCAAAUUUUCAAAUCAAGUACCACAACAGCUAAUUCUAGAUCAUGGGUUGGGUAAUUCUUCUCUUGAGGCUUAAGCUGUCUAGAGGCAUAGGCUAUGACCUUAGCUCUUUGUAUCAACAUAAAAUCCAAACCAACUCUAGAGGCAUCAGAAUACACCACAAAAUCGCUUGUACCAUCAGGUAAUGCUAGAACUGGGGCUGAAGUGAGUCGAGUCUUCAACUCCUGAAAACUCUUCUCGCAGGAAUCUGACCACUAGAACUUAACUUUCUUUUGGGUCAAUCUAGAUAUGGGAGAUUCAAUAGACGAUAAACCCUCAACAAAACAUCUGUAAUAACUAUCUAAACCCAAGAAACUCCUGAUGUCUGACGGAGAGAUAGGUCUAGGCCAAUUUCUUAAGGCUUCUCUCUUUUGGGGAUCAACUCUAAUACCAUCAACAGAGACAAUAUGACCAAGAAAGGCUACUGAUCUUAGCCAAAAUUCACACUUGCUAAAUUUGGCAAACAAUUGAUGAUCUCUAAAAGUUUGCAAGACAAUUCUAAGAUGAUCUACAUGGUCAUCCUCGCUACGGGAGUACACAAAGAUAUCAUCUAUGAAUACUAUGAUAAGCAUGUCUAGAUACUGUUUGAACACUCGAUUCAUGAGGUCCAUGAAUGCUCUUGGAGCAUUGGUUAGCCCAAAAAACAUGACUAAGAACUCAAAAUGACCAUAACGGGUUCUAAAGGUUGUCUUUGGGAUAUCACAUUCCCUUACUUUAAGCUGAUGAUAGCUGGAUCUAAGGUCUAUAUUUGAGAAAUAACUUACACCUUGGAGUUGGUCAAAUAAGUCAUCAAUUCUACGAAGAGGAUAUUUGUUCUUGACUGAGGAUCUUAUUCAGCUGACGAUAGUCAAUGCACAUUCACAAAGAACCAUCUUUCUUUCGCACGAAUAGGGUAGGAGCGCCCCAUAAAGAAAUACUAAGCCUUAUAAAACCUUUAUCUAAAAGAUCUUUUAGUUACUCUUUCAACUCCUUAAGCUCUACGGGAGCCAUACAGUAAGGAGGGAUAGAAAUAGGUUGAGUAUCUAGGAGAAGGUCAAUUCCAAACUCUAUCUCUCUAUCGGGAGGUACCCCUGGGAGAUCUUCUGGAAAAACAUCAGGAAACUCAUUAACUACACUGACUGACUGAAUUGUUGGAGUCUCAGACUUUGUGUCUUUGACUCGGACUAGGCGGUAAAUACAAUAUUUAUAUAUCAACUUUCUGGCUUUAAGGUAAGAUAUGAAAUGACUUUUGGGAGACACUGAAUGACCACUCAAAGACUAGCUCAUCUAGGAACUAAAACUUUACCACACAGUUGCGACAAUCUAUAAAACAUGAUAGGAAUAGAGUCAAUCCAUACCAAGAAUAAGAUCAAAAUCAACCAUAUCUAACUCUAUCAACUAACGGGGUCACAUAAGAGAAACUCGACCCAGGAUCUAACAACACAUAAAUAUCAAGAUGAAAGACACAAAGCAUACCAGUAACAAUAUCUGAUGAAUCUUCCUGCUCCUGGUGAGAUAGUAAAGCAUAGAACCAAUUUUGGUGUUGACCACCACCGGUACUGGAUGAUGCGCCAUGAGGAGGAGCUGGGUGACUUAGAGGAGCUGGUGCACUAUUAGCCUGAGUCUGAGGACGAACAUCUCUGUUUCCCUAUCUAGCAUGCGGGCACUCUUUGAUUUCGUGACCCAUUUGUCCACAACUAUAAUAACCUUUACGGCUCCACAAAUAUUGACCUCUAUGAUUCUUACCACACUUAGCACAUUGGAUAUGAUUGGGCUUCCCACUCACACUAUUCUGAGACCUGGAUAUAGAAGACUCACCCCACUUCUCCUACCUAUUUCUGGUGUCGGAGCACUGGCUGAGGAAGAUGCGGGCAUAGAUGAACGAUUCUGAAACUGCAAACGAUUUCCUCCUCUAGACCUAUUUUGACCAUAGUCAAACUGCCCUAUUCUAGUCCUCUUAUUUAAUCUCUCGCUUUCCUUCAUCUUUUUCGGCUCAAUCUGCUGAGUAUGCACCAUCAACCUAGGAAGAUCUAUAUCUCCAAUGAGCAUAGUAAUCCUACACUCCUUAACUACCAACCCAGACACACCGGUCACAAACUUACUCAUGCUUGACCUAGGGUCAGCCAUCUACUCAAGGGUAUACUUAGACAACUAGAUGAACUUGAGGCAAUACUCUUUCACUGUCAUUGAGGCUUGCCUUAGGUUCAUGAACUCUUCUAUCUUUGCUUUUCUCAUCUCUCAUGGGAAAACUUAUCUAAGAACGCAUCCUGAAAAAUUUGCCAAGUCAUGGGGGUUGCAUUCUCCCCUCUACUUUUCUUUCACAUCACUAGCUAAUCAUAAGAAACAUCUUUCAGCCUAUAGGAUGCCAAUUCUACACUCGUCUCUUCAGAAACAUGCAUAAUUCGGGCAAUCUUCUUUACCUCAUCUAAAUACAAUUGUAGGUCCUUACUUAUCUUCGCCCCAAAGAACUCCGGUGAGUUCAUUCUCAUAAAAUCUUGAAUUCUAGCUGCGGCUAAGUCCCCAUCUUGCUGAAGUGGGGCUACAGCCUGAUGAUUGCCCUGAACAUUAGUUGUGACAGCUUAGGCUAGCGCCUGAAAGGCAGCCCAAAACUCUGCAUGUGACACAUUCUCAUUCAAAGGAUAUGCGGACUGAGGUGGCUGGUUAUUAUUUUUGCGUGAGUUAGCUCGAUGAGGAGACAGUUUUUGUCACGUGAAAGCAUGAGUUAGAGGCAGAUAGAGACACUGAAUGCACGAUAGAUCAUGAAAAAAGAGAUAACUUCCUAAAACGCUCCAUAGCCUCUUACUCAUAAAUGUGGCGCGCUUAACACCGAUGAUCAAGACUCAACGUAACGCAGCUUGUCAGACUCCCUAGGACUCUCUAAAUCUUAGUCUCUAAUACCAAGUUUGUAACACCCCAAAAUCUGAGUUCCCAGGAUGCCACAUGGAGCUCCGAACUACAAGUAGUCCUCAGCUAACCCUGCCUGCUUUCUACUAAGUCUGGAUCUCAAAAUAGGGAAAAUAUAAAUAUGAAAACAUAAUAAAUGUGAAAAUCUUAUCUGAAACAUACUAAUCUCACAAGUCUUGGUAAAAUAAUAUAAUAUUGAAAAAUCUGAAUACUAAAUCCAAAGUCUAAAACUGAAUCUAGUAGUCCGACAAGCCUCUACUGACUGAGUCUAGAGAGUCACUGGGACAGGCCCCAACUGACUCAAACUGUCUGAAAUUAAUAAUGAAAAAUCUACUAAUAAAUCAAAAAUCUGAAUUGCUAAGUCCUAGAACUAUGAGGACUCACCAACUGUAGGGAUGAAGAUGAGAUGCUCGAAAAUCACUCACGCUACUGAGACUGAGCACCUGAACCUACAUUAUAAGACAAUAUAGCACAUAGACGUAUAUGUGGAUCAGUACUUUAAUGAUGUACUGAGCAUAUGGAGGUGAAUGCAAUAAGUAAACAAUGUCAUCACAAUUUAUAAAAUUAUGCAUGCUAAAAGUAAAUGACUCACAUAGGCUUAAGUAAUCUAAAAUUGAAGAUCAUAAAUCAUUAAUAGUAAAGCACAUAAUAUAAAUCUUGUGCGCCAUUACACUUAGUUCUGAUAUUUGUGUUCUAUUCUUAUUCUCAAAUCAUAUAGGUUAAGUGAAAUCUGUAAGUCUGUAUAGAAAAUACUUUAUCUUUUAUUUGAAGGUUUAUCUAUAGGGGAGGUUCUUCUAACCGACAUAAAUCAUGCGAGCAUUCAUGGAGUCCAACGUUCUUGUCCCUCUAAGGAGGAAUCCUCACGUUGGGGAGAGGAGUCAUACUCUUGACAGGGAGUAUAACUUAUCUAAGUGAUCACAUAUCUGUCAUCCACGUAGAAGAGAAAAUAAUCUAAAUCCUACGUUGGCACGUAGUUCUGGGGUAUGAAACCGUAGUAACGUACCCAUCUCGGUGCUAAAUACUACUCCCAUUAAAUCUGUAUGCUCAUUCUGAAGAAAAUUCACUUUAAAAUAGUCUAAUGGUUGGUAAUGAAAACCAACUUUAUAUCUGUAAAACUAAAUCUGUAAUCUGAAUUUGUAAAGUGGAUUUCAUAUCUAUUCUGAGACCAAAAGGUUAAAUCUUUAUUAAUAAUCUGGAAAAAAUCUAGUCAUAAGGUGCUCAUAGCACAACAACUCUUGAAAUAACAAUCUUAAAUUAGGGUUUAAUGACCCAUGUAUCAAUCUCAUGUUAAAACAUCAAAAUGUUCAUGCUUGAUAAUAUAAACAUUGACAAUUCAACUCAAAAUCUAGAAAUUUCUGCAAUAUGCAUGAAAAUAUGAACAUAAUCAUAUAAUUCAACUUCUAAAUCAAUGAAAGUCUCAGAAUCUUAUGAAUAGCAAUAUUGGGUAUAAACCCUAACUUCAAUGUCAUGGGAAAUCACAUAAAAUCAAAUAAUUUUUGUAAUUAAAAACAAGUUUUGGGCACAAGGAUGAAAGAAGUAUCAUUGUUCAUAACCCACAUACCUCAAUUGAUGAACUAGAUGUUAAAACUUGAAUCUUGGAUCUCUAUUGUUGCUUUGGAGAUGAAUUCUUAGAGUUCUUGAAUUGGGGAUUCUUCAGCUUAAAUUUUCUUGGGGAAUUAAUGUAGGAAUUUGGAUUCCUUGGGGAGAAAGUUUGUUGAACUAGGAUUUUGCUUGAGAGGGAUUUGAUUAAAAGUGGAUGUAAAGUGCUUUGAAAGGGUUUAAUUUAUUGUUUAAGACGGAUUAGGGGCUAGGAGAUUUACCAAAAUGUCCCUCUUUAACUCAUAAACGAAACUUUAAAAAGGACCAAAAUCCCGACUUUUGGCCUUGGCGCGACGCGUCACUAUCGCGCCAAGCCACUGGAAAAUGCCAACUGGGAAUAUGCAUGGUGGUACGACGCGGUGGUAUCGCGUUGCCACCUCGGAUGGGACCUGGAAACUUGGUUCGACGCGCCAAUAUCGCAGACCCUCACUGGAAUUGUACAAUUGGGGAUUUGGCCCUCUCCGCGAUGCGCCAAUAUCGCGGAGGGCCACUGGAAAUUGACAAACGUCAUUUAAACCUUCUCCGCGAUGCGCUAAUAACCUAAAUGAUGGUGUCCUACGAUUGAAACUUAAAAUAGCCAUAACUUCUUCCUCGGUUAUCGGAUUUAGGUGAAUCUUAUAUCGUUGGAAAGUUUAUUCAAUUUCCCACACAAUGAGAAGUCUAAAUCUAAAAAAUUCUAUGUGAAAAAUAUAUUAUCUAUAUUGAAAGCUUUUCUUUAACCUUCUAGGGAUGAAUUCAAGUUAGAAAAAGUACAGGGUGUUAUAAUUAGAUCCCACAAAAAACACACCAACUCUUUCGUAUUCUCUUCCAACUUGUAAUUAUUUAUUCCAUAUCUAAAUUUAGAAGUUUCACCAUAGUAGAUUAUUGUGACAAAUGAGGAAAAACAAAAACUUCUUGUCCAUCGGACAUGCUGUUAAUUAUAGCCAAUCGGCCUCUACCCGAUUCCACUCCUCCAUGACUGCUCAUAGUUGUUUGUACCACAUGAAAUAUAAGGCAUGACUGCUCGAUAUAGACAACAUCCAAAUCACUACUAGCCGCAUCACUUCAUCAGUGACAUAAUCAAACGCCAAUCCCAAUAACAACUCUUUUUAAAAUAUAUUGAUAGCAAAUGAAUGGAUUGGAUCAUAUUUGAACUAAUUCAACUGAGUUGAGUUACAACACAUAUUCAUACUAUAUUAACGGAGAAAACAAAUUGGAUAAAAUAUGAACCAAAUAAAAAUUAAUCUUGAUUCAUUUACCUCCAAAAAUCGAAAGUAAUUUUUGCUGAAAUUUUACUUAGCAGCAAAGGUACCAUUGCUAUUUGCUAACCGUCACACCAAAAAACUGCUAUACAAACUAGCUAACAUAAGACAUACUAACAAAUAAAGAAAUGACAAAGAAGCAAGUAUUGGGUUGUUUUUGUUGGGUUUGAAAUCGAGAGGAUGUCAUGCGAAAGCUAAUUAUUGUAAAUUAUGAGAAGUUAAAUCAGAUAACAAUGGAAACAAUACUAAAAACAUAAUAUUAUUAUAUGAUUUGGCCAAUUGACCUACAUAUAAAACUUAGUAUUAAAAAUAAUAUUAAAAAAGCAUAAAAUUAAUGAGAGAAGAUCUCUCCCUAAACGAAACUCUUAAAAGACUACAUUGUGAAUGAUAUUCAGAUAUGGUAUGAGAAGAGGGGUGUUCUAUAUAUAGAUGUCUAAAAUCAUUCCUCUAAGAAAGAGAUUUGUCAAAUAUGAAAAAGUUUUAUAUUUUCCUUUCAGAAAAAAAUAAAAAUAAUUAUGGUUACUUUUAUUUUCUUUCCAAGAAAAAUAAAACUUAAUUUUGGUAAGAAAAUCAGGACAAAAACUCUAACAAAUCUUCUCUUUGGCUUGAUUUUCUGGCAAAAUAUUAUUGAUCCUCCUUUUUCACACAAUCUUCAUAUAUCAAUGAUCUUCAUGUAUCACUGUUGCUUACCAUGAUUAAAAGUUGAUAUGGGUUAAAAAUUGAAGCCCUAUGCGUUGAAAACAAAAGCAUGAGUUAAUAUUAUUGGAGCCAUGUGUUAUAAAUAAACAGGGUUGAAAGUGGAGUCUUGUGGAUUGAAAGUGAGCACUGGUUAAGAGUUGAGCUCAUGCGUUUAAAGUAAAUGCAUGAGUUGAAAGGAGCCCACGUGUUAAACAAGUAUGGGUUGAAAAUUGGAGCCUAUAAACAUGGAUUGAAAAUUGAUAUUGAUUUUUAAAAUGGUUUAGCAGCAGGAUCGUUGAAAAUUUGUUUAACACUUUUUUCUGCACAUGUAGUUUUUUUGGACAUAUAUCUUUAUUAUCAUCAAAUUGGUUGCAAAUUGAUUUUGAACCGCCUUGAACUUGUCUUCAGCCUCGUUUUACCAAACCACUGAAUCUUUGAACCGUAGGCUCUGAUACCACUUGUUGGGUUCGAAAUCGAGAGGGCGUCAUGCGGAAGCUAAUUGUUACAAACCAUGAGAAGAUAAAUCAGACAACAACGAAAACAAUACUAAAAAUAUAAUAUUAUUAUAUGAUUUGACCAAUUAACCUACAUAUAAAAUCUAGUAUUAAAAAUAAUAUUAAAAAGCUAUAAAACUAAUGAGAGAGAAAAUCUCCCCUAAACGAAACUCUUAAAAGACUAUAUUGUGGAUGUUAUUUUGGUUAUGGUAUGAGUAAAGGGGUGUUCUAUUUAUAGAUGUCCAAAAUCAUUCCUCUGAGAAAGAGGUUUGCCAAAUAUGAAAAAGUUUUAUAUUUUUCUUUCAGGAAAAGUAAAAGUAAUUAUAGUUAUUUUUAUUUUAUUUUCAAGAAAAAUAAAACUUAAUUUUAGUAAGAAAAUCAGGGCAAAAAUUCUAACAGUUUUAACUUCAACGUAGUUUUAACUUCAACGUAGUUUCUCAACUAAUUAACCUUUUUUGCGUUUAGAUCGUAAAAGAAACUAUUUCCUCCGUCCUAUUUUAUCCGUCCCAAAUUGGCUAAGUAGAUGUCUCAUUUUACUUGUCACAUUUUACUUAUCAAGAUAAGACAAACUUUUCUUUCCAUGUUUUACCAUUUGCAUUAAUUACAUUUUUUUAAAAUUAAAAUAUAAAGAUUAUUUAAUAUGGAUACUUUGAUAAAUUACCUAUGUUUUUAAUUAUUUUUUGUAAUUAUUGUGCCAUCUCAAUUUAAGACGAGUAAAAUGAGACGUAUGGAGUAUUUUUUUUACUAGUUUAACAAAAAGUCCACAGGAGUGUGGUAUCACAGUCUAAGAGAUUGGUGUAGUUAUGGCAAAAGUCUACUGGAAGCUUUUUGACUCUAAUUCAACGGAUAUUAAAUGAUAUUUGAAAAAACAUAAUUUUUUUUAUAUAAAGAAUUGUACUGUUUAAACAUGAAAACACAUUAAAAUCAAUAUCGUGAGUAAGACUUGAAGAAAUUUUAAAAUUAUAAGUUUUACAUUUCCGUAAUGGCUAACCCAAUGGUCAAAUGUGCAACUUCCUUUUAAUUUUGUGUUAACAAGUCCAAGUCUGAAGCACCUUUUAAACGAUUUUUAGACUAGCAUCUUAAGUAGUAGCACUUCUGAGCAAAAACCCUUUUUGCACUCCAGAAGUUACAAAAAGGAUCAAGGAACAUAACACACUUUUUUUUGCCCAAUUUUUUCAAGAACUUUCUCAAAAUUUCUCUGCCUUCUUUUGCCCAAUUUUUCCUGGAACUUUCUCAAAAAUUCUCUGCCGUCAGCUAUUUGAAAAGACCAUAGGAGAAGGAUUCAUUUUCUACGGCUAUAAAAGAAAGUAACGAAAAGGGCAUGACUAAAUAAAAUCAAAAGGGAUCAAAAAGAAGCUUCUUGAAGAUAGCCAUAGUCCCCACAUGGCAUCACAUGACUUAGCACGUGUACAUAUGGAGUCACAAUUGGUAAUUAAACAGCUCUUUGGUCUUAGAGCUCUUCCCAUUAUGAUCAGCUAAUCUCUAAUCUAAAAUCUAAGUUGCCCACACGGUCACACCAACAACUAACUCUUAUCAAUUACACGUCCGUUGAUUUCGUCCACCGCAAUGUAACAGCCACGAUGUCUCUUCAUUAUCACCAUUACUUCCUUGAUCGGACGGUUCUGAUUUCAUGUCAACUCCAGGUUGCUGUAGGCGUAAAUCCUGAUAAUGCUCCGCCAUUGCUACCUCACCUUCUCUAAUACGCUUCAUGCCUAUCGAGAACCCGAAUAAUCUCGCUUCCGCCUCCGGUUCAACCCGGUUCUCCUCAUCGCAUACGGUUCGACCCGAUUCAUCAACGGCCCGCUCCGUCCGUAAGAGAUCAAGUGGCUUUAACGCCGGCGAAAUACUCUCCGCCGAUUGAUUAUUACCGCUGGUAGAACAGUCUGCGUUGUAAUUCGACAUCAUAUUAUAUAUAUUGCCGCAUAGCUUCUUCAUUUGGUUUAACUCUUUGUUGAGCUGUAAAUUCUCAAUCCUUAACCGUUCGUUUUGUCCUAAAAGCUCUGCUGUGCUCCCUGCAGAUGAAUUCGACGUCACUACUUGCUCUUCACAUGAAUCCGUGGUAGAUACAGCCAGCGGUGGUUGAGCAGGCGGAGGUGGAGGCGGAGCAACUACAGUCACCACCGCUGUUGUAGCUGCGCAAGGAGUAGCAACAAUCGGCGUCGCGACCUUCCGACGCUGGAUAUCAAUUAAGAGAUUUUUUUCACCUCUCCGGAAGGAGUCGUUUCCGAAUUCCCAUCGAUCAGGUACGACUUUCCGAAAUCCCUGCAAAAAUGGAAGAAAAAGUUAGUAAUUCUUACCAUUCACCAAAAACAACUGAUUUUCAAUUAUAGAGGAACUUACAUAGGUGUUGAGCUGCCUAACGAAGCUAGAGAAAUUGUUAUGCUUAAAAUACUUAGGAAGCAAAUCUCUAGCAAACUCGGUAGGAUUCCAGACGAUGAAAGUAGAUCCGUCUUCGUUCCAAGAGAUGACGUCAUCAAUGGAUUGAUCCUCGAUGAGCUGGUAAGUCUUUGUUAAAAACGGUGUCGGUACAGACCUCGGCAUUUCACCAGCCGCCGGCGCCUCUCCUCUAUUCCGGUCUGGCUGUGGAGUCAUAUUUUCUUACCUGAAACACUAAUUAAUUAACCCUGUAUUGAAUUCAACUCAGAAACCAUUUAAUUUCCCUGCAAAUUAAGCAACCAAAAAAAAUAAUACUUUACACCAAAACUAAAACUACGUACUUGAGUGAAGAUAGAUGAUGCUACUCUGGCAGAUCUGGGGCCAAAACUGGAGGGAGGAAGAAAGAGGUCCGUCGGAAUUAUUGGUAAUUCUAGAAUUUUCCGGCGACACAUAGAGGGGGGGAAGGUGGGUUGGGCAAUGGGAGAGGGGGGACUAUAAUUGGAAAAUUCAGAAAGGAAGAAAUGGAGAUAAAGGUGAAGUAUUUUAUUAAAAAAGAAACAAAGAGAAGCUACGUAACGGACAGCUUUACCAAAGUAGAAUUAAAAAUGGAAAAAAAACUGGUAGCCAUACUUAUUGCCAUUCGAGAAGUUUCAGUUGAUUCUUAUACGUGGCACCUGAUGAGAGGCUAUAGGAUAUAUCCUACGUACGCACAGUGAAUAUGGAGUUGUUGAUGUAUUUGAGUUAAAUCUAAAUUUUUCGUAAUACAAACAGUAAUACAAUAUGGAGUCGUUGUUCUUUUGUUUAUUACAAAAAAAACAUUAUUUUAAUUUAUUUUGAUUAUUACAGAAGUUAUUAUGAGUGAAUCAAUAUAUAAAGGAAAAUUUUAAUUCAUUCUAUAUGACAUGUCUGAAAAAAGAAAUUUUUAAUUCAUUCUAUGUGGCAUGUCUAGAAAGUCUUCAUUAUCAUUUAUUUUUUUGUGAUUUUUUUAAUUAUUUUUUUAUUUUAAAAAAUUAAAAAUUCACUUAAUAUUAUACAUAACAUUAAAGAAAGUCAUAUUAAAUAACUUUCAUCAUCAAUAUUAUUAAAUUUUUCUUAUUUAUGUGUUAUGAAAAAAAAUUAAAAAUCACUCCUUAAAACUCUCUUAAUCAUGUUAAAUAUGUAAGAAAAAAUUAAAAAUUAUUUGUUAAAGCUCAAAAAUUAAUAAUGUAUGCAUAUAUAUAUAUAUAUAUAUAUACACACACACACUCUCUAAUAAGAGGAAAUGGGCAGAGAAGCAUGCAGGUCUUCGUCAACAUGCCUGUUUCUCCCUGCCUACUUCAUCAGUUGCUCACUCCUUGAUUUUACUAUAUAUAUAUAUACACACACUCUCUAAUAAGAGGAAAUGGGCAGAGAAGCAUGCAGGUCUUCGUCAACAUGCCUGUUUCUCCCUGCCUACUUCAUCAGUUGCUCACUCCUUGAUUUUACUAUAUCAUCUUUAAUUAAUAGCUUAAGUCAUCGACAUACACUUAAAUUUGUCUUUAAAUUCACUUAAACCCCUCAACUAAGGGUUGUACCUAUUGAACACUUAUACUGUAUAAAAAAUUAUUCCUAUUAGGCACAUUUUGUUAAUUAGCAACAAAUAUGAAGUGUGUAUAACACUUGUCGUGUCAACUAAUUAAAAUGUGACACGUGUUAAUGGGCCCCACAAUAAUUAUCAAAAAAAAAAUUCAAUUAAAUUAAAAAGGCAAAAUGACCUUCUGAAUCCUUGUACUAUAUCGGUUUUGUAAGUUGAUUACUUCUACUUAUAUAUUUGUCAUCUGAACCCACUAAAAAGCAACAUUUUAAAUUCUUUUUUGAUGAGUGUAACACAUUCUUCCCACGUGAGCUACCACGUCAGCUGCCACUUCUGCUCAUCUGUCAUGUCAUCUGUCACGUCAUUUAAAAAAAAAAAGUAUUACAUUAAACUCCAAGUUAUUUUUAAAAUGCUAAAUAACAAAUUAAAUAUUAAAAUUAAUUUAAUUAGAUAAGAAAAAUUUAUAAUUGUAGAAAAAUUUGAAUAAUCAUGUUUUUAUUUUAGCUCACAUUUUAAUUUUAAUAUUAUUUUUAUUAAAAAUAUUUUUAAAGUAUUGUUAAAUUUUUAAAAAAUAUUUUAAAAUUUUUAAAAGUAUUUUAAAAUUAAAAAACAUGGAGGGAAAAAAAGAACUCUUUUUUAAUUAUUUUUUAAUUUUAAUAUUAUUUUUAUUAAAAAUAUUUUUAAAGUAUUGUUAAAUUUUUAAAAAAUAUUUUAAAAUUUUUAAAAGUAUUUUAAAAUUAAAAAACAUGGAGGGAAAAAAAGAACUCUUUUUUAAUUAUUUUUUAAUUUUAAUAUUAUUUUUAUUAAAAAUAUUUUUAAAGUAUUGUUAAAUUUUUAAAAAAUAUUUUAAAAUUUUUAAAAGUAUUUUAAAAUUAAAAAACAUGGAGGGAAAAAAAGAACUCUUUUUUAAUUAUUUUUUAAUUUUAAUAUUAUUUUUAUUAAAAAUAUUUUUAAAGUAUUGUUAAAUUUUUAAAAAAUAUUUUAAAAUUUUUAAAAGUAUUUUAAAAUUAAAAAACAUGGAGGGAAAAAAAGAACUCUUUUUUAAUUAUUUUUUAAUUUUAAUAUUAUUUUUAUUAAAAAUAUUUUUAAAGUAUUGUUAAAUUUUUAAAAAAUAUUUUAAAAUUUUUAAAAGGAUUUUAAAAUUAAAAAACAUGGAGGGAAAAAAAGAACUCUUUUUUAAUUAUUUUUUAAUUUUAAUAUUAUUUUUAUUAAUUUUUUAUUAUUUUAAUGUAAAAUUGACUAAAAAUUGACUUCACUCGCACCUCAGGCGAGUGGCUACACUCUCUUUAUGCUAGUCAUCAUUUCAAUGAACAUAGAUAAGGUUAACGGUUCAAGGGUUCAGAUAAUAAAAAUAUAAGUAGAAAUGUCAACUAACAAAAUCAACAUCGUACAAGGAUUCAGAAGAUAUUUUAUCAAUUAAAAAAAAACAAAUCUAAUCUCUACCCUCGCCGCCCCAGCCCUCACCCCAACCCCCAACCCUCACCCCUACCCCUACCCCUACCCCUUCUUCUUCCCCAUUUCUUUUACAACUUAAUCUCCAUUAUUUUAUACUAACUGAUCUGUGUAUCUCCAUUAUUUUAUACUAACUGAUCUGUGUUGUUUUUUACAACGUUUUUCUUUCAUUUGAGCAGAGUGAAAAUCAGCCUCUGUACAUGCCUAACUAGUAGUUGGCUGUUAAUUGUAAAUAGUAGUACCAUUUACUCGUUACUCAGAAUCUGCAAUGUCUUCUUUGGCUGCGCUCAGUUCUAGCCUCUUCAAUGGAGGAGCUUCCACUUGGAAAUAUCAGGUCAACAUUAUUAUACCUCAGUUUUUCAAUCCAGAUUUUGUAUUGUUUUUUUCCUAAAAUUAGUUGGGAAAAAUCCAGGCUUUAUGAAUUUUUAUAUAAUAAUCUUUUCGUUUCGUUUUAGUUGGCCUCUUUCUAAAAAUAUGAGGAGUUUACUAUGUUCUUCUAAUACUAUUUUUAAUAUUAAAUGACUAAACAAAGUAUAUUUACUCAAAUUUAAAUUUUUAAAAUAUAAUUAAUAAGAUUAAUUUAGUAAAAUAAAAUUUCUAAUUAAUAUCUUUUUAGUGGGUGUGUCAAGUCAAUAAAGAUCAACUAAUAUAAAAUAGAGGAAAUAAUUCAACUGAAAAUUAGCUUAGCUUGCUGUUUGUUUUACUGCUUUGUUGGAGGAGAUGAAUGUGUCUAAGGUUGGGAAGCUCAGACUUAGAGUUACUUCAAUGCGGCGGCGGCGUCAUCACCAGCGCAAAUACAAGCUUUGCAGAUAAUAAAGCUAAUAAAUUGGACAAUUGUAGGGUGAGGGUUGUGAAGAAGAUAAUGAAAGGGGUGAAGAAGACAAUGAGGGGUUGCCUUUCUUUUAAAUUAAGAAAUUAGGAUAAUUAAAGAUUAUAUUAAUAAAAUAAUUUAAAUAUAAUUUUUUAAAUUAAAAANNNNN
This 38366-nucleotide long non-coding RNA is filed under the name Capsicum annuum. RNAcentral's name for it is "long non-coding RNA (CANN_LNC004596)". Lineage: Eukaryota; Viridiplantae; Streptophyta; Magnoliopsida; Solanales; Solanaceae. The record is from RNAcentral.